CGGAAACGGGGUCUAAUACCGGAUACGACACAGACCUGCAUGGGUUCUGUGUGGAAAGUUUUUCGGUGGGGGAUGUGCUCGCGGCCUAUCAGCUUGUUGGUGGGGUAAUGGCCUACCAAGGCUUCGACGGGUAGCCGGCCUGAGAGGGUGACCGGCCACACUGGGACUGAGACACGGCCCAGACUCCUACGGGAGGCAGCAGUGGGGAAUAUUGGACAAUGGGCGGAAGCCUGAUCCAGCAACGCCGCGUGAGGGAUGACUGCCUUCGGGUUGUAAACCUCUUUCAGUGGGGACGAAGCGCAAGUGACGGUACCCACAGAAGAAGCACCGGCCAACUACGUGCCAGCAGCCGCGGUAAUACGUAGGGUGCGAGCGUUGUCCGGAAUUAUUGGGCGUAAAGGGCUCGUAGGCGGUUUGUCGCGUCGGGAGUGAAAACACCGGGCUUAACUCGGUGCUGGCUUUCGAUACGGGCAGACUAGAGGUAUUCAGGGGAGAACGGAAUUCCUGGUGUAGCGGUGAAAUGCGCAGAUAUCAGGAGGAACACCGGUGGCGAAGGCGGUUCUCUGGGAAUUACCUGACGCUGAGGAGCGAAAGUGUGGGGAGCGAACAGGAUUAGAUACCCUGGUAGUCCACACCGUAAACGUUGGGCGCUAGGUGUGGGGUCCAUUCCACGGAUUCCGUGCCGCAGCUAACGCAUUAAGCGCCCCGCCUGGGGAGUACGGCCGCAAGGCUAAAACUCAAGGAAUUGACGGGGGCCCGCACAAGCGGCCGGGAGCAUGCGGAUUAUUCGAUGCAACGCGAAGAACCUUACCUGGGUUUGACAUACCACCCGGGAAAGCUGCAGAGAUGUAGCCCCUUUUAGUCGGUGUACAGGUGGUGCAUGGCUGUCGUCAGUCGU
This 898-nucleotide ribosomal RNA is filed under the name Nocardioides sp. AS-7. RNAcentral describes it as "bacterial SSU rRNA". It matches the Rfam family "Bacterial small subunit ribosomal RNA", at positions 151 to 1063 of the family's 1533-position model. Lineage: Bacteria; Bacillati; Actinomycetota; Actinomycetes; Propionibacteriales; Nocardioidaceae. The record is from RNAcentral.